This is a long non-coding RNA of Peromyscus californicus insignis, 1487 nucleotides long. RefSeq lists it as uncharacterized. The transcript has 2 exons. The record is from RefSeq and is a predicted model, not a curated record. Lineage: Eukaryota; Metazoa; Chordata; Mammalia; Rodentia; Cricetidae.
AGCAGAGUAUCAGGAAAGGAGUUACUUCUCAGAGAAAGGUGCCAAGGAAGACCUCCCUGGCCAUGAAGGUGGAAAUUCCAGGCAAGGAAGCAAGGGUCAAAGGAAAACCAAUACACAGGAUGUUUGCAGAGGACUAGGAAGAGCUUGAUCUCCCCCUAUUCAGAGUUAAAGAACGUGUUACAGUCAAAUCCUCGGAUACCACUGGAAAAUGAAGCUUUAAGAAUGUAUAACGUAUCCAUCCUAUCUCACGUCCACGUUAUGCUGGUUAACCAACUUCCCACCCUUUAUCCCAGCUCUCCUCAGUCUUAGCAUGGUCACUCCUCUUCUCUCAGCUUCUAUGAAAUUUACUUUUUAAAACUACAUUUAAAAGAGGAUUUUUAUGUCUUUAUCAUAAAAGAAUGAUGAAAAUUCAAGGUGAUGAAUAUGCUAAUUACAUUACUAGACUCAUGAAACAAUUACGCAUUUAACAAAACAUCUUACCAUACCCCCAUUAAUACAUACAAAACUAUUUUGCCUCUUCCUAACAAAAUUUCAAAGGACAAAAAAAGAAAAGAAGAUUUGAACUCAGCUGCUUGUACAUUCAUUAACUCUGUCUUGACGAGAAAAGGCAAAGUUGUGCACAAUCUAUGUGAUGAAAGGCUAUUAUCACCAUCCAAACUUGUUAGGUUUUACAUGGGGCAGAGUUUUCCAGAGAAUAUAUAGGUGGACUAUUGAGGAAUAAAGAGUUUAUUAGACAAAUUACUAAUGCUAUAGACAGAGAAGUAAUAACAAGGUGAGGGCUUUGAGGAGAGUUCAGGCUCCAUCACCAGAAACAAACAGCAUGAUGGGUGUAGAAGUGGAGGUCUGUUCUUACAGUUUUCUGAAGACGGGAGAGGUUUCAUGGCAAGAGUUUGAAGCCAGGCUCUCUGGUUUCCAGGCAGAAAGAGGAUAGGGGCAGAAAUGUGGCCAUUCUUUUUAUGUGACUGAGCUUCCCUGAUAAGAACUCCUGGCAAGGGUUGCCUGUUACUCAGUGUAUAGGAUAUCUGUGGGAGAAAGGCUGAGCUGAGGCUGGAGUCUAACAUCACAUUUCUCACCCAGUGGUGAGAGGUUCAUGAGUGAUAUUAAAGGAACUCUGAGAAUAAGAGUGAAUUCUAAUGGCUGGUUUUGAGAAAGAACAUUCCAAAUACCUUGGAGAUAACCUGUUUGAGUUAGCAUUCGUGGUCUUCUUCCGCAAAUUUUCUAUCACCAAAUAUAUAUCUAUUGUUUCUACACGUGGGUUGCCACACUAGAUAGCAGACAUGGACAGGCAUGAACCUCUGGGUCGUGUGCCUUUCUUCAUAUAGGAAUACGAACCCAUCCUCUAACUGCUAAUACGGUGUGUCUCUAGUUAGGUGGCUUCCAGGGUUAGUCACCUGAGACUAUGGUAGAAAGGUAAAAGCAGUCAGUUCUGUGGUAUGCAUGCACACGGACACACAGACAGAUGGACACAUGGACACACACACACACAC